Molecule: RNA transcript, 1673 nt
Organism: Oncorhynchus gorbuscha (pink salmon)
Lineage: Eukaryota; Metazoa; Chordata; Actinopteri; Salmoniformes; Salmonidae
Gene name: UAP56-interacting factor-like
Exons: 9
Source: RefSeq, a predicted model, not a curated record
UCUUCUCUGGACAUUAUCAGCGCAGCAGACAAACUUUACCAGCUGCCUAGGAGCAAGAGGGCCCCAAUGUAUGAGAGAAGUUUGAGUAAAAUAUAGUGUGUAAUCUUUUUUUAACCAUUAUCAUUACUUUACCCGUGGAGGAAGAUAUAGGGUACAUUUGAGACCAUAAUACGUGAGAAGUCCAUACAGGGCGUCAAAGGUUUGCCCCCUGCGUGCGACACAGGAAUAAUGGACAUCGCAACCACUGCAGAUGCAGCCACUGCCAAACCUGAACCCACUGCUAUGGAGGAGUCAGAUCCGCAAGAGGCGCAAGAGCCCCGCACAUCGGAGAAGAUUGACUUGUCACUAGAUGACAUCAUCAAACUGAACAAAAAAGAGAACAAGGCCAAUAAGGCUGCCAACAAGGCUCGGGACCGACGCACCACAAGCAAAAACACUGUCCUCAAGAAACUGGACCGGGCAGGACAACAGCAGACAUUUCCUUUCAGACGUGGUCCUUAUCAAUUCCAGCAAGGACCCUACAAAUCGCGUUACAUGGGACCCCCCAUUCCUGGCUAUUACAGAGUAAAGCCAUAUCUCAGAAAGACUCCUUUUGGAGCACAUCACCUCAAAGGUGUGAGCCCUUUAAAAAGACCUCCUUUGAACACAAAGGAAGGAGCACAGUUCGGAAAACGUAAACCGUUGUUCAAGGGUGCGUUUUAUCAACCGUACAGAGGUCCCCCAGGGGCUUUGAGAAGGCCUCCUCCCCAAUUCAGAGGGCAAAGAAGCCACCAUUCCAGCCCAAACAGAGACAGGGCGGUGUAAAGCCAUUCAUCCUAAAUAGAGGGUUUCCUGCAGCAAAUGGAAAAAUGGAUAAGUACCAAAAGGUUAGAAGCUGGAAAAAGGCGCCCUCCGGUGUUUCUACCUUGACGGUGUCACUGCCCAACUCCAAAGCCAACUCAGAGCCCGCGGCCAAGGCUAAGCAGGCCACAGUGCUGGACCGAUCCAGUCCAUCAGGGGUGUCCCCCCAGCCCAAAGGCAUCCCUCUCAAAUUUAACUUCAAGGCCACUAUAAAUCAGACGGGAGUGACCCUCAAUGACCGCUUCACUGGUAUGAGGAUCUGGGCAGGCCUAGGGCAGGGUCCACGGAGGGGCAGUGGCAGGGGAAGAGGCAGAGGCCGAGAAGGCCGGACUGUCAUCCUACAGUGAUCAUUGUUGAGGACCUGUGCUGUCUGUAGCCUAUAUUAAAAAAAACAUCUCAUUAAUCCCCCUGUUAACCCUUCCAAUAAGCUCACAUUUUGAAGACACUUUAUAUUGUUAGUUAUUUUAGUAUGUAUGGCACGCAUUUAGUUACUUCUUGUUUCCAAAAUGUUUGGACCUCAGAAAAAGUCUAGACAUUCAAUGAAUUAAAUGACAAGUGAUAAAGAGCUGAAGUGACAGGCUACACAGAUUUAUAUACUCUUCAUGUAGACGCUAGAAACACAUUUAUUUUGGGAACCAUCAUGUGAAGUUAGGACAGUGAUCUCAGCCUGUUACCCAAAGUAUUUUUAGCUCUUGUUAAUGGGGUUGGCAUGUACAGUGCCUUCGGAAAGUAUUCAGACCCCUUGACUUUUCCCACAUUUUGUUAGGUUAUACAGCCUUAUUCUAAAAUUGAUAACAAACUGUCAUGUUUUGUGAUUGAUUAUCAUGUCUUGU